UGGGGAAUUUUGGACAAUGGGCGAAAGCCUGAUCCAGCAAUGCCGCGUGUGUGAAGAAGGCCUUCGGGUUGUAAAGCACUUUUGUCCGGAAAGAAAUCCUUGGCUCUAAUACAGUCGGGGGAUGACGGUACCGGAAGAAUAAGCACCGGCUAACUACGUGCCAGCAGCCGCGGUAAUACGUAGGGUGCAAGCGUUAAUCGGAAUUACUGGGCGUAAAGCGUGCGCAGGCGGUUUGCUAAGACCGAUGUGAAAUCCCCGGGCUCAACCUGGGAACUGCAUUGGUGACUGGCAGGCUAGAGUAUGGCAGAGGGGGGUAGAAUUCCACGUGUAGCAGUGAAAUGCGUAGAGAUGUGGAGGAAUACCGAUGGCGAAGGCAGCCCCUGGGCCAAUACUGACGCUCAUGCACGAAAGCGUGGGGAGCAAACAGGAUUAGAUGCCCUGGUAGUCCACGCCCUAAACGAUGUCAACUAGUUGUUGGGGAUUCAUUACCUUAGUAACGCAGCUAACGCGUGAAGUUGACCGCCUGGGGAGUACGGUCGCAAGAUUAAAACUCAAAGGAAUUGACGGGGUCAUAGCUGUUUCCU
RNAcentral lists this ribosomal RNA (584 nucleotides) under uncultured bacterium. RNAcentral describes it as "partial 16S ribosomal RNA". It matches the Rfam family "Bacterial small subunit ribosomal RNA", at positions 355 to 1375 of the family's 1533-position model. The record is from RNAcentral.